Molecule: ribosomal RNA, 157 nt
Filed under: Ricasolia amplissima
Lineage: Eukaryota; Fungi; Ascomycota; Lecanoromycetes; Peltigerales; Lobariaceae
Also listed under: 1 other name
Description: 5.8S ribosomal RNA
Rfam family: 5.8S ribosomal RNA
About the family: 5.8S ribosomal RNA (5.8S rRNA) is a component of the large subunit of the eukaryotic ribosome. It is transcribed by RNA polymerase I as part of the 45S precursor that also contains 18S and 28S rRNA.
Source: RNAcentral
AACUUUCAACAACGGAUCUCUUGGUUCUGGCAUCGAUGAAGAACGCAGCGAAAUGCGAUAAGUAAUGUGAAUUGCAGAAUUCAGUGAAUCAUCGAAUCUUUGAACGCACAUUGCGCCCCUUGGUAUUCCGAGGGGCAUGCCUGUCCGAGCGUCAUUA